GGACAGAAGCAGUGUCCAAGAGAAAUGCAAAGACUUGCCAGUGGGGCCCUUGGCCUCUUCAUGUUGCUGGUAUGUUACUUCAUCCUCAGGAGUAGCUUAGGAUGUCAUUUGAAGCUAACCUAGCAGAAAUGCCAUGGUUGUGUGCUAGGAAAAUUAGGGCAUUUGGUUCUCUGUAAUUUUAUUAUAAUGCCUAAGAACCACUUUGAAACUUUUCACUUAAUGAAGGGUUUGGCCAGUCCUGUUGUUUAGAGUUAAAAUUGAAGCUGGAUUCCUAAAAGGUGUAUUUUUUUAAGGUUCAUUGGUAUUUUAAUAGAGGAAGAUAAGCUCAUUCAAAUCUGCCCUGACUCAACUGUCCUUGGAAGCCUCAGUACUAGUGUAGGGGCCAUAGAAUACUCAGGCACUUUAUCUUGAGCCAUUAAUUGGUAAAAGAAUAGCUUGUCAGGAGACCCUGCUGGGCUGUUAGUAUGUCUUUCUGUCGUUGUUAGGUGACACAUCCUAGGACCUGUAGGACAGUCUUUCUUCAGGUUGUUUUCAUAGUAUAAAUAUUCCAAAUGUGGAUGUGUUUUUGAACCUAGUGAGUUUUUUUUAAAUCAUUGUUAAAAUGUAUUCUCGUUGUUUAAAAUAUUUUGUGCAGUUUCUCUUGUUUCCAUUGUUUAAAAAAAGUUAUUCCAGGAGUCAAGUACCAAAUUGAAACAUUAAGAUAUUUAAAAUAUCAAGCAUUGUGAAUGAAGCACUGAAUUGAGACACUUGCAAUUUGGACCUGGUGUAUCCAUUGACUUGCGGUGUGAUUUUUGGGCAAGUCAUUUUUAAGCACUAACUGCCUCAGCUUAACCAUCUGUAACGUGAGGAUAAUAUGUGCUCCCCUCCCCCUCUCUACCUCACAGGGGUGUCAUAUGAAUAAAUGGGAUACAUGAAGCUUUUGUCACUCCUUAGAAGACAAGUGCUGGAUAAAUCCAAGAUAUUAUUUGAUUUUUGAAUCCAGUAUUAUUGGAUACCUCCAGGUAACCACAGCAGAAGAUUGAGAUAACAUAUAGACAGUACUUUGAGCUCCUCAGAAGAAAGGUGCUCUGAACAGCCAAGGUGAUAUUGAUGGUGGUGGUGGUAUUUUGUAUAUUUGUAAGAUGGGGAAACUGAGGCACAGAGAGGUUAAGUGGCUUGCCCAAGGUUACAAAAUGAGUCAUUGACAACCCUGGAGACUGAAGACCUAUUUAUUCACAGACCAGGAAGAAACUGAGACCCCAAACAGUGAAGUGACUUCAGACAGAGACAACAGAUAAACAGGAAAUGAAAGCAGGUACCUACAAAAUGAGAUUAUGACAUUAUCAGAUUACUUUUGACUAAAAUUGAUUCAGAAUCUCUCUUUAAUAUUCAAAUACCCUCCUACUUAGUUUUUUUAAAGUGAUUGGUAAUCUUGACCCUUUGACACUGAGUAAAGCCCUAGAUUAUACUUUUUGUACCCCGAGUUCAGUCAUAAAGUGAAGUCUUUGCCAUAUUUUGCUUGGGAAGAAUGGAGGAAAGAGUUGUACAAUCUGGUAAAUGGCAGCUCUGUAGCUGCAAUAUGAGAUUUUAUUGGUUUAUUCAUUCGACACUGCAUUUUUCUUGAUUAGUUUAUUAUUCUAAUAGUGAAUACAGAGAGGUCAGAUUACUUAGCCACCAUCACACAUAUGAUAAGGAUGAGCAGUAGAAUUCAAACCCAGGUCCUCCGAUUCCAAAUCUAGGGCUCUUACCUCUGUGCCAUAAAUGUCUCAUUGGCAAAAUUUCGAUUGAUACAUUGGUUUUCUUUGCACUCAGAUUUGUUUGGUCCAUUGUAAUUCCUCUCUACCUGCUUGGCACUACAAGGUGGAAAGAUUAUCCACAUUGAAUGGAAGGAAAGGCACUGCUUUUAAUGCAACACCAAUAGAGGGUAUCACCAAAAAACUCCUGCUGGAAAAAGGAAGACCAACUUCCUUUAUAGAAGUGAAGCCAUUUGAUUAGAUGUCCAAGCCCCUCUUCUAAUCUAGGUCCAUUGGUAUUACUUAAUUUCGUGAUGUUAAUGAACGCUUCUGUUCUACUUAAGUAUUUGGAUGAAUUUUCAAUCUCGUAACUGACACACCAGUACAGAUUCAGUCCUUUUGCUUUUGAUACUUAUUUACCCAUAAUCUCAGUUUAAUGUUAAUGAGUGUCACUAAAUUGAAAGGGUUACAAGUGUGAAAGUGUCUCCUAUACAUAGACACACACACACACACACACAUACAUACAUACGUAUAUUACCUGAUUAUUCAGUGGAGGGGUAUCAGCUUGGGUGCCAAUUUAUACACCAGAUGGACUUUCUCAUUCUUUUUAUUGUCUUUCUUUAAAUAUCCUAUAUAUAGUCUCCACCUCAAUACACUGGAAGCCUUCAUGUAGUUCUUUUCAUAUCUCUGGGGUACCAUCAGGCCAUCUCGUUACGUGAACAGCCCACCUCCUUUACUGGUCAUACAUGCCUUUGAUGAUUGUCUAAAAAUCAUAUGCUUCUAUAUUACUUAGCUCAAAAUCAGAAUUUAAAAUUUACCCUACUAUGAACACCGUAGGUAGCAUCUUGACCCUUGUAAGAUUUUAAAGCCUGUGUACCAUAUUCCCCUCUUUCUUCUGAUGCAACUUUUCCAUUUACAAAGAUCUUUUUUGUCACUCUCCUCAUCCUUUUUUUAUGGUGAUUACAAUCACCAUAUGAUAGUUUCAUUCAGACUCAGCCCUCAAUCAUUAGAGGCAGCUGGUGGCACAGUAGAUAGAGUACUUGGCCUGGAGUCAGGAAGAUCUCAACCUGGUCUCAGAUA
Non-coding RNA from Phascolarctos cinereus (koala), 2792 nucleotides. The record is from RefSeq and is a predicted model, not a curated record. NCBI's taxonomy places the organism in Eukaryota, Metazoa, Chordata, Mammalia, Diprotodontia, Phascolarctidae.